Molecule: ribosomal RNA, 468 nt
Filed under: uncultured bacterium
Lineage: Bacteria
Description: partial 16S ribosomal RNA
Rfam family: Bacterial small subunit ribosomal RNA
Source: RNAcentral
GACGAACGCUGGCGGCGUGCUUAACACAUGCAAGUCGAACGGAAAGGCCCUGCUUUUGUGGGGUGCUCGAGUGGCGAACGGGUGAGUAACACGUGAGUAACCUGCCCUUGACUUUGGGAUAACUUCAGGAAACUGGGGCUAAUACCGGAUAGGAGCUCCUGCUGCAUGGUGGGGGUUGGAAAGUUUCGGCGGUUGGGGAUGGACUCGCGGCUUAUCAGCUUGUUGGUGGGGUAGUGGCUUACCAAGGCUUUGACGGGUAGCCGGCCUGAGAGGGUGACCGGCCACAUGGGGACUGAGAUACGGCCCAGACUCCUACGGGAGGCAGGAGAGGAGAAUAUUGCACAGUGGGCGGAAGCCUGAUGCAGCAACGACGAGUGCGGGAUGACGGCCUUCGGGUUGUAAACCGCUUUCGCCUGUGACGAAGCGUGAGUGACGGUAAGGGGUAAAGAAGCACCGGAUAACUACGUG